Molecule: long non-coding RNA, 1149 nt
Organism: Felis catus (domestic cat)
Lineage: Eukaryota; Metazoa; Chordata; Mammalia; Carnivora; Felidae
Exons: 3
Source: RefSeq, a predicted model, not a curated record
GCGCCCGUUCAGGGAGUAGCGUCGUCAGGACCGGGUGCUGACUGCACGUGCAGGGAAGGCAGGAGCGUCCACGCGGCCCUGGGGCUCCAGCCAGUAGGCGUGUUGUGGUCGUGAUCAGGGGACCGAGGAGGAACAGGCGCAAGGCGGGUGGAGGGCACUUCCGGUUUGGGCGUGGCUGCCCUGCGUGCGGCGCCCCGCGGGCAUCCAGGGGGAGUGACCAGCAGGUGUUUGAACCGGGUCUGCGGCCGCAGAGGGAGCUCUGGCAGGAGACACACGUCUGUGGGUUGGGCGGUUGAAACCAGGGGGACAGGAGAUCUUGCCCAGGGACGGCGUUUGAACGUGACAAGGACCGAAGGCCGAAGAUGGGGCCUCAGUCGGAGUAGGAAGAGUGAGAGUCUGCAAUGGAAGCUGGGGAUUUUCUUCUUUAUCAUCCCAUCCACAGCACCUCAAACACUGUUGGGCACAUAGUAGGACCACGGCAAGAGUCCACUGGCGUUGAGAGUCGUGCAUUCAUUUCCAAACUCAGGAGCGAUUGGACAGGCCGAGUCUAUGGGUCAGAGCAUCUUUAUGCUUGAGAGGGCUUUGAUACUUCCGGCUUUGUUUUCGGGCUCUCACAGCUGAUCAUCAUCCCCUUACGAUGGACCGAGGCUACCUUGGGAUCUGCCAGCUCCUGUUUUGUCUUCUGCACAUAUUUUUCCAGCCUCGUCUGCUUUGCUGGGGACUCCCUCCCCGAUUCGGAUUACAUCACCCCUGCCCUCUCCCCUGCCCACCACUCUGGGGUGAGCAUAUCAACAACUCAGCCUCCCGGGUCACCGUGACUGCCGCGGGGAUGUGCCUGUGACCUGAGUAGGGAAGCAGUAUCUUUGUGAGGUUGAUACGUGGACACUGAGAGCGGAGGUUUGUUUGCAAAACUGACCACCACAACAACCGCUCCCUUCCUAUUUGUCCCUUUGUGAUGUGACUUUCUGUGCUUCCCAUCAAGAGGUGGAAUCCAUUUUCCCUCCCCUUGAAUUGGGGCUGGUCCCAUGGAUGGGGUCCCAGAGCUGAUGGCCAAGAAAGAAUUCUUGAGAUGCUUUUGGUGCAAAAAAGGUGACUUUAUUUUAUUUUUUUUAUUAAAAAAAUUUUUUAAUCUUUAUUUAUUUUUGAGAG